AUGCUGUGCACUCAGAGAAGGCAGAACCUGCCUGGAGUCUUUCUUCCUGCACCAUGUGUCCGAGGGCUCUUCUGGACUGAAAAACCGGGGGGAUUCAGUGUGGUUCCCCCGAUCUGCGCUGAAGUUUUUAAACCCAUUGCAGUGCUGAUUUCAGCCACCAGAUGUGCGCAGUUGAGCCGCGUUGGCUCCCAGCCUGGAAGUGAGGUCAGAGGAUGGGGAUUGGGAGAAAAAGUCAUCUGGUUUCCUGCUUGGGCUCUGACGCAUCCCUGCAUCCUCCCUUUCCCCCCCCCCGUGACCUCCUUUUGCAGACAAAGAGGGGAAGUGCUGCGCACGCAGCAUCCCCCGCACUGCUCCCCCCGCCUUUGUCCUGCUUUGCUAGGGAGAUUUCUUUAUUAUUAUUAUUAUUAUUUUCCCCCUGCCUUUCACAAGUCCAUAAUGGGGAGGGGGUUCCCCAUCUGCUGCUGGGGGCACGGGGAGGAAUCACCUGCUCUGGUUCACAAAAGCAGCAUCACAGCCUUUUGGUGCUGGUUGUUAGGGAGCAGGAGCGGGGAGCCGCAGCCUUUUGUGCCAUUAAAUAAAACAGAUCCCCAGAGAGCAUUAUGCAAGCCCUUCUCUCCAUCCCUUUGUUCUCCAUUACAGGGCUCCCCACACUCCCCACUACACCCCAUUCCAAACAAUGCUGCUCUUCUUUCCCAGCUCCAACCCUGCCCUCCCCUGCUGAUGGUUUAGGGCCCAAAUGCCAGAGCCUCCUCCCAGCAUCUCUCUGCCCCAUGGCAAUAUCCCACCAGGCUGGGUUCACCCUGCCAUGCUGAGUCACCCUGGGCGUGCUGGGAAUCAUUAUUUAAUAGCCCCAGAGCUGUGCUCUGCCAUUAUUCAGCCCCUCGUUGCUCACAGGGUGAGGUGUUCUGGCACUUUAGAUACCCGUUCCCACGCAAAAAAAAAAUAAAAUGCUGCAGCAAUGCCUGUGCUGUGCUCCUCCUGCCCUUCCAGGCUAGCUGUGACCUGCAGCACUGUGCUGUGUCACUGCCAGACACACUCAUCCCUCACCACGCUGGGGAUGUGCCCGUAAUAUCUGCUGUGGUGUCCCGUCCCAUAGCUGAACACAUUGCUUCAGCACAGACGUGGCUCAGAGCUGCUGCCCCAGCCCAGCCCUGACCCCAGAGGGACUCUCCUCCCCGAAAAUACCCUCGGAGGGUUUGGGGGUUUGUUACGUGGCCGCUGUGGCUUUGAGUUGUGUGAGUUCUGGGCUGUAUGUGUGCAGAUAUGGUGCUGGGCACCCUGCUCCUGGCUGGAUUUCCUUCUGUAGCAUUAUGAUUUUACCCACCGUUACCUACACAAGUGCUUUAGCUGUCUCUUUCUGUUUUGUUGUAGGUUUUAAUUCCCCGUUUUCCUUCCUCCUCACUGCUUGCUCCAGCUGCCCCAGAGCACAGGGAUCCUGAAUCUGUUUUCCUCUCCUAUAAUCAAUGCCCGCUGUCCCCUUGUGAACCGAACCUGAAAAACCCCCUGUAAGGUUGACGUGGGAAUUUAAGCUCCAGAUCCAGCUAGAUUUGUCCCUAGGCUGAUUUACUCCUGGAGGAUCAGGGGAUGGCCUGCAAGGUGUCCUGGGCUCCUUGCCAUUCCCCUUUGGCUCCCAGCCCUUCGCGUGGGGCAGCACUGGGGCAGCAAAGCUCAGCUCAGGGCCACCCUCAGCCCCUUCUGCUCAGUUUGGGUGCGUUCCCAUCAGGGGCACAGCACAGCACAGACCCUGCACUGAGGAUUUCUGCUGGGGGGUUUAACAAGGCAAAAAAUACAUCAGUGAAGAAUAUAUGUAUAUACACGCAAUACAAAUGCAUAGGACAGCUGCUUUAGUUGAUGGGAACUGUGUGAAAAGUGCCUUUCCUUAAGGAUUGUGGGUGUAAUACGGUGAGGAAAAAUUGUAUGUUUAAAGGGGGUCAAAAGGAGAAGCAGCCAGGAGAGCUUAGGAGAAAACCAGGCUGCUCCUGCAGUGUUUGGGGGGGGUGUUUGGGACAUUUUCACGAGGUCUGGCUGGGGUCUGUCCGUGUUGGAGCAUUGCUCCUCCAUGGUCUGUGCGGCACCAGAGGGUGCUCGUGCACCGCAGUGCAGAGCUCUCCUCUUCCUCAGCCAUUUUAAACCAAACGUUUUCCUCUCCCGCAGUCUCCAUUUUAUGUUUCCGAUGCAGAAAAUAGACCAGGGUUUGGGGGGAGGAGAGGAAAGGGGGAGAGGUGCCGAGGCAAAGCCCAGGGCUGGGGGGGAGGGUGAGGCAGGCAGGUAUGGGGCAGUGUGAGGGGUUUCCAUGGGGAGAUGCUGGAAGUGGGCUCUGCAGGGAUGCUCUGCUUUAUCCCCGUGCUGUUUCGGAGCGUGGCGUCACUUUUUGUCCCUCAUCUCUUCAUCCAGCUGGGCACAUCCCCACUGACCCUAUGGGAUCUGCAGGGCUGCUCCUGCCUGACUUCCCUCUUUCCUUGCUGAGGAUGCUAAGCUCUAUUCUUGUCCCUUUUCCUUCCUGCCCAUGCACGUUGGAUGGGAUGUUGUCUCAGGUUUGUUACCAGCACAUCACCUUUCCCAGCUGCAUGGAAAGCCCCAGGGGAACCUCCAGCAUGCAAUAGCUGAGUGUUUGUUGUCAUUGCUUCUAUGUGUAGGAUCUGCCCUUAUCUUACUCAUCACUGUGCAGCGUGGGGGAGGCGUGGGGGGGGGGAGUGGGGCAAGGCAGGCAUUUCUCAAUCCAGGAUAUGAAGCAAGCACUGCAUUUGCUUCCAGAAUGGAAUAUCACUGGGGCAGACCCAAAGGGCAGGUCCUCACCGCUGGGGUACGUGUGCAGCAACGGCAGCUGGUGUCACAGUGUCCAGCCGACCUCCGAGCAGGACACACAGCCAG
Meleagris gallopavo (turkey) is the source of this 2871-nucleotide long non-coding RNA. The record is from Ensembl. NCBI's taxonomy places the organism in Eukaryota, Metazoa, Chordata, Aves, Galliformes, Phasianidae.